Molecule: long non-coding RNA, 228 nt
Organism: Colossoma macropomum (tambaqui)
Lineage: Eukaryota; Metazoa; Chordata; Actinopteri; Characiformes; Serrasalmidae
Exons: 2
Source: RefSeq, a predicted model, not a curated record
AACCCUAGGGUUAGGGUUGUUCAUUAGGGUUAGGGUUAGGGUUAGGGUUAGGGUUAGGAAAAUGAUGACAUGUAGGCCCAACAUUAGGGUUGGGAUUAUGUUUGGGGCCCAUUUCAAGAAUAUCACAUGGGGUUAGAAUUGGGACAAGGGUUAUGUUUACAAACAGGGCUAGUUUUAAAAAUAACCCCAGGGUUAGGUUUGUUCAUUAGGGUUAGGGUUAGGGUUAGG